Molecule: long non-coding RNA, 476 nt
Filed under: Pan troglodytes (chimpanzee)
Lineage: Eukaryota; Metazoa; Chordata; Mammalia; Primates; Hominidae
Description: long non-coding RNA NONPTRT016647
Source: RNAcentral
GGUUCUUGUGUGGAUGUAUCUAUUUCUCUUGGAUAUAUACCUAGGAGUGGAAUUUCUGGGUCAUAUGGUAACCCGAACUGUGAAACUGUUUUCCAAAGUGUCUGCACCAUUUUACAUUCCGACCAGUAAUGUGUAAGGGUUCCAGUUCUCCACAUCGUCAUCAACACUUGCUGGAGUCUCUCUUUUUUAUUACAGCUGUCUUAGUAGGUGUCAAGUGGCUUUGAUUUGCAUUUCCCUUACUGCUGGUGAUGUUGAGCAUCUUUGUAGCCUCCGCCUCCCGGGUUCAAGCAAUUCUCCUGCCUAGCUGGGGCUACAGGUGCACCCUGGGCCUGGGGGAGCUGAAGCGCUUGUGAGUGGCACGCCCUCCCCUGACCCCACCCCUCCCCUCCCGAGGGAGAAAGUCACACCUCCUGCUCCAUGCCCACCCCCUUCCUCUCACCCACCCACACCUGCCCCUCCUUUCCGCUUGGGUGCCU